ACAAGAAUGGUUGCCCGUGAACGUGGUAAUUUGAUUCGUCCACGGACAUCCAUUUUUGUGA
RNAcentral lists this microRNA precursor (61 nucleotides) under Acyrthosiphon pisum (pea aphid). RNAcentral describes it as "microRNA api-mir-3033 precursor". Lineage: Eukaryota; Metazoa; Arthropoda; Insecta; Hemiptera; Aphididae. The record is from miRBase by way of RNAcentral.